This 171-nucleotide unclassified non-coding RNA is filed under the name Clavulinopsis corallinorosacea. RNAcentral's name for it is "internal transcribe spacer 1". Lineage: Eukaryota; Fungi; Basidiomycota; Agaricomycetes; Agaricales; Clavariaceae. The record is from RNAcentral.
UUGAAUCCAAUGGAUGUUGCUGGUGUCCGAGAGGGCACAUGUGCACUCCGCCUUUCAAUCCACCUGUGCACUCUUUGUAGGCGCGGAUUAAGUUCUGCUGCCUAUGUCUUUAUACACCCCAUUAUAAAGUCCAUAGAAUGAAUAGUAGGCCUUUUUGGUCGAAAUGUAAUA